Molecule: transfer RNA, 72 nt
Organism: Ovis aries (sheep)
Lineage: Eukaryota; Metazoa; Chordata; Mammalia; Artiodactyla; Bovidae
Rfam family: tRNA
About the family: Transfer RNA (tRNA) molecules are approximately 80 nucleotides in length. Their secondary structure includes four short double-helical elements and three loops (D, anti-codon, and T loops).
Source: Rfam
UCCCAUGUAGCUCAGUUGGUAAAGCAUCUGCCUACAAUGUGGGAGACCUGGGUUCAAUUCCCGGGUUGGGAA